UCCACGCCGUAAACGAUGUCAACUAGCCGUUGGGGGUCUUAGUACCUUUAGUGGCGCAGCUAACGCAUUAAGUUGACCGCCUGGGGAGUACGGUCGCAAGACUAAAACUCAAAGGAAUUGACGGGGGCCCGCACAAGCGGUGGAGCAUGUGGUUUAAUUCGAUGCAACGCGAAGAACCUUACCAGCUCUUGACAUCCUGCGAACUUUCUAGAGAUAGAUUGGUGCCUUCGGGG
RNAcentral lists this ribosomal RNA (233 nucleotides) under uncultured bacterium. RNAcentral's name for it is "partial 16S ribosomal RNA". It matches the Rfam family "Bacterial small subunit ribosomal RNA", at positions 794 to 1025 of the family's 1533-position model. The record is from RNAcentral.